UCUUGGUUACUGCCCAAUGUUCUAUCCGAACAACUUGUGUAUGAUCAGGCAGAGAAAAGAUGCCUUCUGAGAAAGUCUAUGGGGAGAAAAGUACUAUCUGAACUGGAGAUGGUCCGACUGGAAAAAGUUUUGCAUGCCUCUGCUUGGCUAACUGCUACCUGAUUCUUCGUUCCAGAACUGCCAGACUGUUUUCCAAGGGGGCCACACCAUUUUACAUUUCUACAAGCAGUGGGCGGUGUUACCAUUUCUCCACUCCCUUGCCAACACUUGGUACUUGUCAUUUUCGUGACAGCCAUAGGGAGGAAAACAGUGUAUCUGCUGUUAGUGUUGGACAAGUUACUCUGUCCAUGUUCUUUGUUUCCUUCCCUUCCCUGAGAUACAACCACACCUAAUUUCCUGAGCCUAAACACCCCUCAACACCGACGAAGGAGUAACAUCAAAAGUUAGGUAAGCAUUGC
Felis catus (domestic cat) is the source of this 458-nucleotide long non-coding RNA. RefSeq lists it as uncharacterized. The record is from RefSeq and is a predicted model, not a curated record. NCBI's taxonomy places the organism in Eukaryota, Metazoa, Chordata, Mammalia, Carnivora, Felidae. The transcript is spliced from 4 exons.